GUAGAGCAGAGGACUGAAAAUCCUCGUG
RNAcentral lists this transfer RNA (28 nucleotides) under Opuntia sp. Martinez-Gonzalez 5. RNAcentral describes it as "partial tRNA-Phe". The record is from RNAcentral. Lineage: Eukaryota; Viridiplantae; Streptophyta; Magnoliopsida; Caryophyllales; Cactaceae.